Drosophila innubila is the source of this 228-nucleotide long non-coding RNA. RefSeq lists it as uncharacterized. The transcript has 2 exons. NCBI's taxonomy places the organism in Eukaryota, Metazoa, Arthropoda, Insecta, Diptera, Drosophilidae. The record is from RefSeq and is a predicted model, not a curated record.
ACCGCAGGACACACUCACUCUCACACACACACACACACAAACACACACUCGUACGCACACUUACGAGGCGUUAACAUAACCGUGAAGACUUCGUGCCGACGCCAAAAUAUACCGUUAACUCUUUUUCGAAAUUAAACCAUACGAAAUGCUAACGAGUGUUUAGAACUGUGCCGUAAAUUCUAUGAUAAUCUGAUCAAUUUGUAUGCAAUGCAAAUGCAAGACUAUUGA